CUACCUCUGAUUACCAAGCCCGGUCUCUUGCCACUAAGCCACUCUGCUUUUCAGUACUGUUUCUACAGUAUGUAUCAACUGAAGUUUUUUAGGAGCAAAACACUAUCCACUUUACCUAGUUGGUCACACCCCUGAAGUAAUGGAACCAGAUGGACCUCAACCAUCUUUUAUUUCUAAUUCUUAGGUGCUUUUUAUGCAACAAUUUUUUUGAUGUCCCCAACUCAAAACCUCCAUUCUAGGGAAUGCCUUCAAAGAUGAGGAAACAUAUCCCUUCUUCUUACGGUACCUAAUUUUUCAUUCUUAAAGUACUGGUAACAAACACUGUAAUAUGCAUAGCAAUAGGGUGCUGAUGUUAAUUCAUUCUUUUUCCAUUUGUGGCUUGCUGAUGGUGAGAAAAUACUCCUUGGUAUCAUGAACACCUUUUAAAGUAUUUCAUGCAAAAGGAAAUAUUUCCAGGUUAAAAACAAAAGUGAGCAAUAGGCACAUAGACAUAAAUGAGUGUGAAAAGUGGGUAACAGGAUGACACAGCUAAGAAGGUGGGGAUUAAUUGAGGACUUUGAAGGUGGACAGAUGUGGAUUUGCAUAGGGAAGGAAUUCUGUUUUUUUGUUGGAAUGUGAGAAUGGGUAGCUCUCAGAGGAAUUUUUUUGAGGCGAAUGAGAAGUUCUGAAUUAAUGUCACUUGAACUGAGCAGAUCUGUGUAGGAUAGGUUGAAUAAAGGAGAGAUUUGAGGGACUCUGCUGCAGACAAGAAUUUGAAUCAAGGUAGUGGUCAAAGAGCGGAGAGGAGGGGACGGGUCUGGGGAAUGCUGCCGAGGAUUUAGAGAUGCCUGAAUGUGCAAGAGUACAGCUUCUUGUUCUCAGCUACAAACAUAAAACAGUUUUUACCGCUCCCCCACCCCAGGCAGGUGGAAGCUUUGCAGGCCUAAAAUACCAGCAAGUCCAAGAGGGAUAUGGGUGACGAGAAAAAGGUUAGGGAUGUGGAGGAGAAAAGUUAAGGAUGUUCAAUGGCUGAGGAGGAAUGGACAUCAUGUGGUUCCUUCAGUCAUUCUGGUGCCACUGUCAGAGACAACACCUAGCUGGGUGGACUUUUGGUGUGAUUCUGGAAUGACAUUAUGGUUCUUAUGUUCUUCUUUUUAGCCUGUCUACUCUCCUGCUGCACCUGACCUGCUAUUCUUUAUGGGCUUUUCUGUUCUCAUUUGAGUGAGCUCUUCAUUUUUUAAUGGAUAACUUUGUCCUGCUGGAGGCCUCUUUUUUUUUUUUUUUUUUACCCUGCUAACCACACUAGAUUUCUUCUGUGGCAAACAUUUUUCCUGGCUCUCAAAUAUAAUGGUUUUAAACAGCCUUCAGCAUUGUCAUCGACUCAGUUCAGCUUUUCCCCAAGCUUGGUGCUGUCAUAGCGCUAUCUAAACAUGUAAUGGCCUUUUGUUGUUGGGUUUUGGUUUUUUUUUUGGCCUUCCCUUCAGCAAGAAUGUUCUUGAAUUACAUCGAGAUCACAAUUGUGGAGUGUCUCCCCCCAUUUGAAUGAACUUUUCAAGUUAAUCCAGGACAUGGAGAAGAUGGAGCUCUGCAGGGAGAGAUGAAUCAUCAACCUGCCGGCCAGAAACCAAAGCGCUUGUCAAGAGCCUGGAUCAAAAUGGUCAUGGAGAGAUUGGACCGGCUCAUCAGGUCCAACAGCUAGUACUCAAUGCUGCUUCUACAUGUGGCAACAAAUGAUACUGUCUGAGCCCACUCACAGUGUAAUGUGAAUUCAGGACGCCCACACACUCGGAGUCAGUCUCUUUUCAACCGGAACCCAUCCCAUAAAGAAAAAGAAGCAUAUUUUGGGGAUCAGAGUGGUUCACCUGAGAGAGCUUUACACUCUUGGACAGAGAUAGAUUUACGAAGCCCAAAGAGAUCCAGAGAUGAUGAAAGAGGUCAGUCAACCAGGGAACUUGGAACAGUCCCCAGGCACACCAGGAAAGGAGCAGACAGGAAUGAGCUACUAGGUGAAGGUAUGUGGCAUCUUCAUCCCUGGAGAUUGUGGAGAACCCUCAGUCCCAGAUUGACUAAUUGUUCACCUGCCUCUAGAGAAGGGGUAAGCAAACAAUCUUUCAAGGUUUCUUUCCACUGCUGUGAUUUUACACUGAUUAGCAGAUACCUGUUAUAUAUUCCUCCUAACAUUCCUGAUCCAAAUUGCAAUCUGUUCCUUGCCUGCUUUUUUUCUUUGCAGUGUGGUGCAAAGCUAUUUUUAUUUUCCAUUAAUUCAGUAGGAAUAGCAGAUCAGGUGAAAAUUGACUUGUGGUAUCUACUAUUGAGGAUCUACAGGCUGUUUAGUGGACAUCUCCCAAGUUUCUGUAAGUCUUCAAUUGUUUUCAAACCAUCCGUUUACUUAGAUUCCUCUAUUCUGAAACAUUUUUAGGAGGAUCUUGUCUUUUUUUUCUUUACCAGUGACUUUAGCCUGUAAUACUUUCCACAAAAUCUGUAGCAAAGGGUUGUUGCUGGGUUGUCUGAAUAUAGCAGGGAUAAAGGAAAUUUCUGGUUGAAGAUAUCAGGGUAAGCCUUACAUUAGGCGUGCCAAUCCAAUGUUAAAGGAGACAAUGGGUACACCAUUGGAGGCACAUGCAACUCAUUGUUGUGGGCAGGGAAUAUGUCUACCAACUCUCUUGUACUGUACUCUCCCAAGCACUUAGUACAGUGCUCUCCACAAAGCACCCAAUAAAUAUUAUUGAGUGAUGAAAUUGUCUCCAAAUCUAUCUUGGGAACCCUGAUGUCAGAAUUUAAACAUGAUUUUUGCUUUUCCAUCACUUGGCCCUUUCCUCUUAUAAUAAUAAUAAUGAU
This is a long non-coding RNA of Ornithorhynchus anatinus (platypus), 2817 nucleotides long. RefSeq lists it as uncharacterized. The transcript has 4 exons. Lineage: Eukaryota; Metazoa; Chordata; Mammalia; Monotremata; Ornithorhynchidae. The record is from RefSeq and is a predicted model, not a curated record.